Molecule: long non-coding RNA, 251 nt
Organism: Austrofundulus limnaeus
Lineage: Eukaryota; Metazoa; Chordata; Actinopteri; Cyprinodontiformes; Rivulidae
Exons: 3
Source: RefSeq, a predicted model, not a curated record
AGGUUGGACUGUUACCAUGGUGACGACAGCUUCCUGUUCCGGUGGUGUGAGGACAGCCCGUAUCAAAAGAGGAGGGUGUAUACAGCGCCAUCAAGGGGACUCAGUUCAGCUUGACGUUCUUAUGAAGACGAGACAUUUACCACUGAUGAUGUGACAACAUCCACCUGUGAAGAUCUUCUUGUACUUGGACAGGUCUUUUCCUCCGAGAUUUCCCAAGGAGACUUGAAAAACAGCAGCAAGCAUUGACGUAC